Molecule: ribosomal RNA, 492 nt
Filed under: uncultured bacterium
Lineage: Bacteria
Description: partial 16S ribosomal RNA
Rfam family: Bacterial small subunit ribosomal RNA
Source: RNAcentral
AGUGAACGCUGGCGGUAGGCCUAACACAUGCAAGUCGAACGGCAGCACAGUAAGAGCUUGCUCUUACGGGUGGCGAGUGGCGGACGGGUGAGGAAUACAUCGGAAUCUACUUUUUCGUGGGGGAUAACGUAGGGAGACUUACGCUAAUACCGCAUACGACCUACGGGUGAAAGCAGGGGAUCUUCGGACCUUGCGCGAUUGAGUGAGCCGAUGUCGGAUUAGCUAGUUGGCGGGGUAAAGGCCCACCAAGGCGACGAUCCGUAGCUGGUCUGAGAGGAUGAUCAGCCACACUGGAACUGAGACACGGUCCAGACUCCUACGGGAGGCAGCAGUGGGGAAUAUUGGACAAUGGGCGCAAGCCUGAUCCAGCCAUACCGCGUGGGUGAAGAAGGCCUUCGGGUUGUAAAGCCCUUUUGUUGGGAAAGAAAAGCAGCAGGUUAAUACCCCGCUGUUCUGACGGUACCCAAAGAAUAAGCACCGGCUAACUUCGUG